GGUCCCGUAGCUCAGUUGGUUAGAGUGUUGGUCUUAUGAGUCGAAGGUUGUGGGUUCGAGCCCCGUUGAGACCA
This 74-nucleotide transfer RNA is filed under the name Ipomoea nil (Japanese morning glory). It matches the Rfam family "tRNA". Rfam says of the family: Transfer RNA (tRNA) molecules are approximately 80 nucleotides in length. Their secondary structure includes four short double-helical elements and three loops (D, anti-codon, and T loops). Lineage: Eukaryota; Viridiplantae; Streptophyta; Magnoliopsida; Solanales; Convolvulaceae. The record is from Rfam by way of RNAcentral.